This 350-nucleotide ribosomal RNA is filed under the name uncultured Modestobacter sp. Its description in RNAcentral is "bacterial SSU rRNA". It matches the Rfam family "Bacterial small subunit ribosomal RNA", at positions 355 to 722 of the family's 1533-position model. Lineage: Bacteria; Bacillati; Actinomycetota; Actinomycetes; Geodermatophilales; Geodermatophilaceae. The record is from RNAcentral.
UGGAGAUAUUGGCGCAAUGGCGGAGCUGACGCAGCGACGCCGCGUGGGGGAUGACGGCCUUCGGUUGUAAACCUCUUUCAGUAGGGACGAAGCGGAAGUGACGGUACCUACAGAAGAAGCACCGGCCAACUACGUGCCAGCAGCCGCGGUAAUACGUAGGGUGCAAGCGUUGUCCGGAAUUAUUGGGCGUAAAGAGCUCGUAGGCGGUCUGUCACGUCGGCUGUGAAAUCCCGAGGCUCAACCUCGGGUCUGCAGUCGAUACGGGCAAACUAGAGUAUUGCAGGGAGACUGGAAUUCCUGGUGUAGCGGUGAAAUGCGCAGAUAUCAGGAGGAACACCGGUGGCGAAGGC